GGCUCGUUGGUCUAGGGGUAUGAUUCCUGCUUGGGGUGCAGGAGGUCCCGGGUUCAAAUCCCGGACGAACCC
This 72-nucleotide transfer RNA is filed under the name Schistocerca americana (American grasshopper). RNAcentral's name for it is "tRNA-Pro". It matches the Rfam family "tRNA". From Rfam's summary of the family: Transfer RNA (tRNA) molecules are approximately 80 nucleotides in length. Their secondary structure includes four short double-helical elements and three loops (D, anti-codon, and T loops). Lineage: Eukaryota; Metazoa; Arthropoda; Insecta; Orthoptera; Acrididae. The record is from RNAcentral.